RNAcentral lists this ribosomal RNA (256 nucleotides) under uncultured Pseudomonas sp. Its description in RNAcentral is "partial 16S ribosomal RNA". It matches the Rfam family "Bacterial small subunit ribosomal RNA", at positions 96 to 354 of the family's 1533-position model. Lineage: Bacteria; Pseudomonadati; Pseudomonadota; Gammaproteobacteria; Pseudomonadales; Pseudomonadaceae. The record is from RNAcentral.
CGGCGGACGGGUGAGUAAUGCCUAGGAAUCUGCCUGGUAGUGGGGGACAACGUUUCGAAAGGAACGCUAAUACCGCAUACGACCUACGGGUGAAAGCAGGGGAUCUUCGGACCUUGCGCGAUUGAAUGAGCCGAUGUCGGAUUAGCUAGUUGGCGGGGUAAAGGCCCACCAAGGCGACGAUCCGUAGCUGGUCUGAGAGGAUGAUCAGCCACACUGGAACUGAGACACGGUCAGACUCCUACGGGAGGCAGCAGGG